GCGCCAGGAGGAGCCGCGCGCUGUUAGUGCUGGUGUUGCUGGUGCUGCCGCCGCUGCUGCCGUCAGUCACUCCGCGUUCGGUUCUUCGGCGCCCGGUUCGCUCGGACCCAUCGUCGCUUCUAGACUUUGCUGCGGGCUCGGAUCUUGCCGGGAAAAUGUCUGAUGAAUUUUCGUUGGCAGAUGCACUACCUGAACACUCCCCUGCCAAAACCUCUGCUGUGAGCAAUACAAAACCUGGCCAACCUCAAGGCUGGCCAAGUUCCAACCCUUGGAAUAACCCAAGUGCUCCACCUUCUGUGCCAUCUGGACUCCCACCAAGUGCAACACCCUCCACUGUGCCUUUUGGACCAGCACCAACAGGAAUGUAUCCCUCUGUGCCUCCCACCGGACCACCUCCAGGACCCCCAGCACCCUUUCCUCCUUCUGGACCAUCAUGUCCCCCACCGGGUGGUCCUUAUCCAGCCCCAACUGUGCCAGGCCCUGGCCCCACGGGGCCAUAUCCUACACCAAAUAUGCCCUUUCCAGAGCUUCCAAGACCAUAUGGGGCACCCACAGAUCCAGCUGCUGCUGGUCCUUUAGGUCCAUGGGGAUCCAUGUCUUCGGGACCUUGGGCACCUGGAAUGGGAGGGCAGUAUCCUACCCCUAAUAUGCCAUACCCGUCUCCAGGGCCAUACCCCGCGCCCCCGCCCCAAGCACCAGGGGCAGCGCCGCCCGUUCCAUGGGGCACGGUUCCACCGGGAGCCUGGGGCCCACCAGCACCGUACCCCGCCCCCGCAGGAUCGUACCCCACACCAGGACUCUACCCCGCUCCCAACAGUCCUUUUCACGUGCCUUCAGGACCUUCUGGUGCUCCACCGAUGCCUGGUGGCCCCCAUGUGAGUGUUAAAUUUGUUAUCUGAAAUGCACUAACAGUCACAUAAGCACAACUGAAAGAUGAUUUGCCUCUGGGUUCAGAGAGAAGAUUAAAAAGCAUUUAAAACUUUUAAAAGAAGGGAUGUGUGUAUAUAAGGUAAGGGUAAAUCUCAGGCUCCAGAUAAAGCAUUUAGAAGGAUGAAAACAAAAGUAUUCCUGGUACUGAAAAUAGAAAAAUUUCCCAAAGACUUUGUAAUGUAGUAAGCAAUGUCCUCAAUAACAUCCCUGAAGAAAACUCAGGUGCACGUCACUGGACUUUUUUUUUUUUUUUAAGUAUUUCUCUGUCGCAUUUUAUGGCAUCACACCAAAGCACAGUUCGGUAAAAAGUUUCUGCCUUUGUGACUUCAUACAGAGGUAGAUUUUUAGAGCAUCUAGGACAGUGAAUACAUAGCCUUUCCUGUCCUUCCUGUAACUCUCCCUAGUGUUGCUCAGCCAAAGUUCUGUUAGAUCCUCCGCAGCAUUGAGCUCCAGAUUAUACCACUAUUCUGCAUUGUCAGUUACAGGUAAUGCUUCAUGCUUUACUGUCAGCCAAGCCAGAGUGGUAGGAUUGACAUCUUAGUUGGAGAACCUGUCUUGGACAUACAACCAAAUAGAAAAGCAUCCCACUUCCCCCCAGAAUCUUACCAUUAAGUUAAUGGACGAAGAGAGGACGCUUUGCUUUUUGAAGUACAUGUAUAUGCACAUGAAUAUGCAUAUAUAAAAAUUGCUGGUUUCACUAUUCUUAGAGGGCAUUCAUGAAAGAACAACUCUUGCACCUCUCAGAGAAGAUAUCUGCCUCUUGUACUUGGAUGUAUAGUACGUCUGAUGGAUACAGUCAGAUAAAAAUGUAAAAGUAAAUCAUUCAAAUGUGAUUUUUAUUCGGUUUUUAUGGAACGUUAAAGCGAUGAAGUAUAUUGAAUAGCUCUUUGAUACAAUUUGUUUAAAACAAGAUUUCAAUUUGUUUAAAUUAUGAAACCACACACUUAAAAAUCGAAGAUGAUGUGGAUUAUUGUUAGAAUCUGCAACCUCAUUGGCAAAUUAUUUCAAGUAUUUUUCUAUAAUCACUUUUUCCCCAAAUAAACACACUUUGAAAACAAUCACAUUGUCAUAAUUUAAACAAAUGUUGCCUCUCAGCAUCUUGAACUGCUCUGUCUAUAGAAUAAAUAAACCUGGUCCUCUUGAGGUUGUAGUUUGGAUCUAUAUUUUAAAGCUUUUGGUAAUUAUUGUCAGAUGUUGAGUUCAUUAGCCUGGCAGUGCUCAUUUUUAUCCUUGAGCUUUUAGUAAAAACUUUUCUAUGAUUUUGAGUUCUACCUGAUCUGCUUUAUUUUUAGCCAGAUGGGUCACACAGCUCUAAAAUCUGCCAUUUAUGAAAACUUUUUUAUUUUUAAUGCAGGCCAACGUGUGUAAAUUCUUAUUAGAGAAUUGGUCAUCUCUGUAUUGCUUUGGAAUAGAUUUUGAGAUGUCCGUAUUGCUUUGGGAAGAACUCAAAGAAGGAAAUAAUUCUCUCCUUUGUCUUAAACCUCAAGCCAGAGGAAACCCUGGAAAUUGCUUCAUAGUGACAAGUAACUUGCAUUCCCACAGAACACUCUUCUACUCAGACCCUUUCUUAUAGGUCCCUCUGCCUCAGUUCUUUAGAAGGAGCACAUCCUUCAGUUUUUCCCUGAUACGGAAAACUGGCACACUCUAGGAGUCUGUUGUAAACACAUAUAGCAGUUAAGUUUCAAGAACCUUAGUCAUUUAGACAUGACUCUUUGUACAAGUGCGAUCAAAAUGUGUAUGUGUCUUUCAGAGCCUGGUUAAGCUGUGUCAUUGUCUUUUGCAUAGUUUCCUGCAUCUUUUGUAAAGUGCUUAUGGCUAACAGUUCAGUUCUGUGUUUGUUGACAGGUAAAUAGGUAGGAUUGAGUGCCAUCCUUAAAAAUUAUUCUCUAGCUCUAAUACUGAAACUAAUAAUAAUAAGGUGUAGAUCUCUGCAUUCUGUUGAAAGUAAGCAGUGUGACUGUCGCUUAAAUUAGUGUUGUUUGUAACCACCGAACUAUCUCUAAGUCAGAUCCUUAGAGUCUUAGAACUGACUAUGUUAUUUGUCAAAUAACAUUUUGAACCUUUGAAUGUAUCCAUCGGGUUACUAAAAUAUGUCAUGGAUUUCAUGACUAGUCUAGGAGAGAUUUAUGCUGGAGCUCUUGUUUUUGCUUAGAAAUAAAGUAUUUAGUAGUUUUGUUUCUCUUAGAGUUAAAAUGUCAAGAAUGCCAAAUGCUGCCAAUUUAAUGGUUUGAUAGCUACCUCCUUUUAAGAAAGCAAGAUGGUCACCUUUGAGAAGAACAUUCAGUGUUUAAACUCCCUUUUAAGUAGAUGAUAGAGUCAGGCUUUCAGAAUUGAAGCUGAGUUGUUUAGGUAUCUUCAGACUGGGGAAUGUCGUUAGACAGCUCCUACAGAGUGGCACAAGCGGUCUUGUUUUCUUUUGCUUCCUUGCAAGGACAGGCCGCACCAGUCUACAACACUCUUGGAAUCUUUGGUCAGAGCAGCCUCCCAUUUACAAGGCAGUAGCCCUAAAAGGUAUUCUAGCUUAAACGGUCGGGCAGUAUGUCAGCUAAGUGGGGGAUGAGAGGAAAAGUGAGAGAGCGGCCAAGGUCUCUCGCCUGGUGGUUAUUUUGGUUGUGUUAAAAGUUGGGAGAAGUUGACAACUCUGGCUUUAGAUGCAAUAUUUAAUGUAACACUAGAGGAUACUGUUUGAUUAAGAGAAGUGGUAGCACGUUUGGGAAUCUGUGAUCGUGGAGUCCAUUUAUUAGAGGAGAAAAUCUGCUAAAGGAUUUGAAGGAACAUGAACGUGAGAUUUGGAAUUACUACCCCCAAUAAAUACAUCAGCUUUGCUAGUGACCCAUACUGCCCCAUGUGCCCUAGACAUAACACCUUUUCUUUUCUUUUCAAGGACUUUCCAACUAGUAGUUGUGAAAUUUUUUUAACCUAAGAAUGGAAAUCAAAGGGACAAGAAUUUGCUUUUAUGUUCCUUUUAGUUUUGUAGAGCAUUAUUUCUCAGCUUGCGGGGAGAAUCUUAAUGCACGUGGGUACUCUGGGGACAAAAAUGUAUUCUUAGGUUCAGGGUAAAGUUAAAAGCAGAAGUUGUUCCAGCGGAGGAAUGGGGGGAAAGCACGGGGGGGAAGGUUUUUCUCUUUACAAGGGAAUAAGGUUGCUUUCGAAACCAGUCCUGGUAGGCCGGCAUCAGUUUAGGGAAGAGACUGUUUCUUAGAAAGUUUGUUUGGUCUCAGAAGGGAGUACACAGGAUGGAAUAUGCUGGCACUUGGGCUCUCUCUGAGCAAGAACUUUAAGACAAAUUUGAUGGAGAUAAUCGAGAUGUGUUGAGGAUUAGUGUUUCUGAAGUUGGAAUCUUAGAUUUUGAAAUGUUAAACCGGAAAAUGAAAAUAAAGAUCUUAGGUCCUCAUCACACACGCAGUUCUCAAGAAUCAAGUCUCCUUGGAGGAGUGCUUGAAAUAAUACCUUGGCUUGUCUGUCCUGGGCUCAGCCUGACGCCUUUUCAUGCUUUUGAAGAUGGUGUUUACAACUCAGACUCCACAGCCCUGUUUUGUAUAAAGUAGAACAUAGAUUAUUCAGCAAUAGGCAACACUUUUCUUUUAAUUACCCAGGGCCCUCCUCCCUUCGUCAGUUUUCCUGUUGUUUUCAGUAGAGAAUGAUAAAAGGGGAGAGAAAAAAGGGGGUGAAUUUUUGGCCUUGGUCUGGCACACCACUACAACAGAAUAUUGGCCUAUUUCUAGGAAGAAGUCGGUUUUGCCCGUAAAAUUUUAUCUCACAAAUAAUAAUAAGUGCUACCUGUUGUACCCCAAAGGACAGCUUUUGAAAUUGUGUACAGAAGGACGAAGCUCUACUCACGUUUCAGUUGAGAUGCUGUGUCUCGUUUGCAUGUCCAUCAGUUGCCUAGACUUCUAAAUGAUUAGUGCCAAUGUCUUCCUCACCCUGAAUAAGUGAGUGCUAGAUUUAUAAAAUGCCAGGGUUAUAAACCCUGGACAUUAAACCUAAUAAGCACAGACCUUCAAGUGUUGGUUUUUGAAAAGCAUAAGGUUAAAUUCAGAUGAAUCACGCUGAUAGAGGUACUAUGCAGAGAAAGUGGUGGGCAGCUUUCAGGGAAGACUAAAAUUUAAUCUUGAGCAAUAUUGAGUAUUGAAGGACAGACACUUUUUAUUUUCAGAAUUUUGCCAAGUAAAAUUAAAAUUGCCAAUAAAAUAAUCAGUAUUAAAGAAAUGCCAGGCAAGCUCCUGGCUAGAGAAAACAUCUGAGAACUGCAUUUGUUCAGCACUCAAGUGUCUGAUCCUGGUGCUUUGCCAGCUCCCAGAGCUGCAGAGAAGAAGGAGAAUGCCUGUCCCGUGGAGGCUUACCGUCUAGGGGUAGCAUUUACAGAAUGCAUGAGUACACCCAUUUUUGGUUUACCUAGAUGAAACAUGUUUUAGUUUGCCGCUGGUGGAAAUGAGAGGCCAGCCUUUGGACACUUUAAACAGCAAAGUGUGGUGUACCUUUUUUUUUUUUUAAAGUAAGAAAUUAAUGUUUCUCAAGAUUGUAGUGUUUGUCGGUGCAACUGUUCACGUGUGCAAAGUAACAGGAGGUUUUUCCUCUUCACUUCUUCCCUGGAUGAAGGCACUUAAACUGCCUGUCACUGGUUAACAGAUACUGAUUGUUGCCAUUAAGUAAACUUGACUUCUUAUGCGUGCUCUAUAAAGGUUUUGUUUUGUUUUGUUUUUGUAUUUUUUAAUAUUGUGAUUUUUAAAAUUGACUUAAUAAUGACAAAUUUGAUGUAUGUAAUUGUCUAUGCAUUUUAAGUUAAACUGCCUAAAAUGUGAUUUGAGACAUAGACAUUUGUUUUGUAUUAUGAACUGUAAGCAAUCUGUUUGAGAUGUUAGGUUUUAUCACCUGCUGCUGUAUUUGUAAACAAAGACAUGUUGCUUUAAGAAGUAAUUAUAAUUAGGAGUAGUCUAUUGAUGUGAUACUUGAUAUUUUUUAAGAUAAACUUGUUUGCUUUUGUGUAUUAUACCUAAAAACUUUUUUUAAAAAAUGUAUUUUCAUGGUUUCACAAGUUUUUCCCUGUAUCUUAUUCUUUAGGCCCAGUUCUGGGCUUCCCUGAGAAGUCCAGAGCCUAAUUAAUUACAAAAUUGUUGUCAUAAAGAAAGAAAGAAAAAAA
This is a non-coding RNA of Callorhinus ursinus (northern fur seal), 6070 nucleotides long. Lineage: Eukaryota; Metazoa; Chordata; Mammalia; Carnivora; Otariidae. The record is from RefSeq and is a predicted model, not a curated record.